GACGAACGCUGGCGGCGUGCUUAACACAUGCAAGUCGAACGGGCCCGCUCUCUUUUUUUGUGUGGGGUUGAGUGGCGAACGGGUUAGUAGCACGUGAGUAACCUACCCCCUGCUCCUGGAUAACUGCUUGAAAGGGCGGCUACUACGGGGUGUGCCGGCUGAUCCGCAUGGGCCUGGUCGGGAUAGUUUCAUCUUCGGGUGUUUCUGUGGGGGAUGGGCUCCCGGCCUAUCCGCUUGUUGGUGGGGUGAUGGCCCACCAGGGCGGUGACGGGUAGCCGGCCUGAGAGGGUGGGCGGGCAGACUGGGACUGAGACCCGGCCGAGACUGAUGCGGGAGGCAGCAGUGGGGGGUAUUGCACAAUGGGCGGAAGCCUGAUGCAGCGCCGUCGCGUGAGGGAUGGAGGCAUGCGGGUUGUGAACCUCUUUGUCAGGUGGUGAAGGCCCUGUCCGGUGCGGCGGGGUUGACGGUAGCCGGGUAGGAAGCUCCGGCUAACUACGUG
This 499-nucleotide ribosomal RNA is filed under the name uncultured bacterium. RNAcentral describes it as "partial 16S ribosomal RNA". It matches the Rfam family "Bacterial small subunit ribosomal RNA", at positions 28 to 507 of the family's 1533-position model. The record is from RNAcentral.